RNAcentral lists this long non-coding RNA (493 nucleotides) under Ananas comosus (pineapple). RNAcentral's name for it is "long non-coding RNA (ACOM_LNC008892)". Lineage: Eukaryota; Viridiplantae; Streptophyta; Magnoliopsida; Poales; Bromeliaceae. The record is from RNAcentral.
AAAUGUAUCAAACUUGUAAAAUAAAUGAUGUAAUAAUAUGAUUGUAACUGGAAGUAAAAUGUAAAUUCGAAGCUGAGAUGUACUAAGUGAAUGCUUGUAAUAGCUGUUAGUUUUAUGUAUUUGAUACUUUCUUUGCAAUCUGGAUUGGUAUUCGUUCCUUGUUGGAACAUUCGUUGAUUGUUUGGAUUGUGACGCCUAGAACGUACAGGGGGGACUCUGUCCGCGUAUAGGGGAAAUCCCGGUCCGUUCGGCGGUCUGUCGUCGGCGCCGCGACCCGGUCCAAAUUGGUGGUUGGUCGCGGGGUGUGACAGAUAAAGUUGUAUGAGAGCAUAAAGUAGAAAAUGGGAGGAAAAUGGUUUAGACAGACCUAGGGAACCCUAGGAUAGUGAAACCAUCGGAGAAUCAGGUUCAUGAGAGACGAGGACUUAUGAUUUGUGGCGAAAGGUAAUGGAUUGGGUUGUGUCGUAAACCUCUAAGACGGAUAUUAGAGGUA